Molecule: long non-coding RNA, 8903 nt
Filed under: Gallus gallus (chicken)
Lineage: Eukaryota; Metazoa; Chordata; Aves; Galliformes; Phasianidae
Source: RNAcentral
CCGGUACUCCAGCUUAGCUCAUCCUUUUGUGCUCUCCAUCCCUUGCGUUGAAUCCAUGAGGAUGCAUGAGGGUAGAACUUCAGAUCCCCCCCCAUCCCCCCAACCAGCUGGGACCAGCAGCUAAAGACAUUCAGCAUUUCUCACAGUCCACAGCGUAGCUUUUGAGCUGGCUGGUAAUUGGAAACACUGUGCACUCCACUGCUCGGUCUCGCAGGCUCCCUGGCCAGCUGUGGGCUGCUCACCACCACCGCUGAGCCCGCAGUGCAGGGACGAGCUGCAGCGCCUGGUGAGGAUGGGCUGUGGUUGCGGGAGGCCAUCAGGUCGGCUUGCGUGUCUUUUUCCAGGAAGUCGAGUGCAUACUCCCUGCUUCUUCUUUUUUUUUUUUUCAUGAUCUUCAAGAGUUCAGCUCAAAGCAGCUGCAGAAAAAAAGCAUCCUGCUGCAGAAGAGCCAAUGGCCCUGGGAACAGACUGCUUUUAUAAAAAGCCUUACGAGAGCCAGAUGCCCCCUACCCUGACAAAGACUGAUCAGGUGGCUGCUGGUAUCGCCUUUCACUGCUCUUUGGCAAGGGUGGAAACACAGAAUGAUGGCAGUCCCCCAGCACUUCCCCACCCGAGCGGCCGCAGCAGGUGAUCCGCGGAGGAAGAGGAGGAUGAAGCCCGGCGUGCGAGCCAGCCCCGCCGGCUGCCGAGUGCCACCAGAGGGUGCUGCGCCGUACCGCCGGCCGGCAGGGACGGAUGGGAACGGGAGGGAUGCGAGAGGGACGCGGGAGGCUGCGGCCCCAGCCAGCUCCCUGCCUGCCAGCUCCUGCUGUGGUUGCCAGGCUGCUCGGUUUGGUUGCCCCGCAGCUAGCUAGUUCCGUCUGAUGGACCUCAGCUCCCUCUGGAGAAAACAAACGUUUGUGGCCGUGUUGAUGUGCAAGGAGGAAAACAUCGACACCGCAGAUAACGUGGUUGGUACGUCUCGAGACAGCGUAUGUAGAAGACAGCAUUUAAAAGGGUUGGUUUAUUAACUUGGCGCUCCCGUGCCGUAACCAGCCGCCCUUUAGGGAGACAGAAUUAGCCUCUCUUUAGCAGAAGGCAUCACAUCCCUCUGCUUAUGUCCCGUGCCGCUGCUCCCCCCAGCAGCCGCACUCCUCGGUGCCUGCUGUCCCACACGUCCGGGGCUGCUGUACAGAGCGCUCCUUAUACAGACGUCUCUUGGCAUGGAGGCUCUCCCCGGGAGCACGACUGUAGGUUGAAAUUCUGCCUUCUUGGAAUAAGCAAAUGCCAGGGGUUUAUUUCCUAUUAAGCUAGCAGAUAGUUUGUGCAUUUAGCCGCAGUUUGCUGUCUCCAACCAGAUACGGGUGGAUCCUUCUUGUUUUCCUUCCUCUUUAUAUUUCCAGCCUGGGAAACAGCAAAAAGUUUGUGCAAAAGCAACAUCUGUGGGAGAGAGAGAGAGAAAAGGAUGAGGCAGGCUGGCCCGGCAGCCAGCCUCAGGAGAUGGUAAGACAGAAGAGCUAUUCAUUGUGAGAGGCAGUUGCUCCUCACCCUGCUAGACUAUAAAUUGGACACCUUAUUAAGAGCUGAUCCUCCAACAGCCCCACCCCGGGCUGUGCUCACGCUCCGGACUAGAGGAACGCAAUCCCGUUUCGCUCUGGGUGCCCGCUGUGGGGUGAGCACAUGUGUGAGCAGGACAGAGGACACGAGGCAGAAGGAAGCAGCACACUUUUUGAUUUGUGGGUCGUCAGCUUAGGAAAACAAGGCAAACUUUUGGGAGGCAGCAGGGAGGAGGUUGGAUGGCAGCGAAGUUUGGGCUCUCACCCUAUGAUGCGCUGGUUGCCUUAGCAAAUAAUGGAAGCAGUAUUACAUUUUUUUCCUUUUUUUUUUAAACUUGUUUUCUCAGUUGUAACUUAAAAAUGCUGACUCACUGGCACUGUGUGCCAACACAAAUGUUGCUGCGGAAAUCAAUCAUCAUGAGAGCCUGGCGAGAUAUAACCCCACAGUGGCGCAGGCUUUGAAUGGGCCUCUUUGGUCAUUCCAAGUUUCUUCUUCAGACAAUUCGCCCGGAAACUUCCUUCUUGUCAGGUGAGCCCAAAGGUCUGAGCAGACUCACGCAGAUGUCACGUUGAAUGGUUGCUGUGGUGAAAAAUUCACAGGAAUGUGAGGUUAACAAAUUCAUCAGUUGUAUCAUCCUUGGCAAGACUUCUGAGCUUUCCAGCCUUUGCGCACCUUUAACCAUUUGAAAGGUUCUUGGGCUUGCAUUUGAAGUGCACAAGCUAUUGCCAGCUGCUGUCAGAAAUAAACAUCUUUAUGUAUUCUUCGGAGCUUGUUUUUGUGCUGAAGAAAGCAGGAUGGAUCACAGGCCUUUUGUACUGUUCUGAACAUUAUUCCUGCUCAGACGUUCAUGUUUUUCCUUCCACGUGAAACCGAUUGGAGGAGUCAUGCAACACUAGAUGUGUUGGGAGGAGUCUGCAUUUUCAGAGCAUCUGCUCGUUGAUUUCUCUGCUGAGGUUCCUCUGUUUUAUUUUCCUUGGCAGGCCAUUUAAACAUAGUUAGAUAUAUUGCAACUGAGCGGUGGUCAGGUAAUUCAAAGUAACAUGGAAAUGUGACCUUCAUACAUGCCUCCCCGCUUCUCGGGUAGCACUAAGAUACAGGUGCAUUUCAAUAGCAUCUCCUAGAAUUGCUGACUUCAGUUGCAUCUCAUAUAAUUGAAAAACAGCCUUUGUAUUUCCUUUAGGAGGAAAUACAUUUUUUUUCAGAUCUGAAAAAUCUAGGAUAUUGCUGUGGCUCAUUUGAAAAUGGCCGCGUGAUUCUCUAGGUUGUGAUUGCCUGACUGUCGCUGGUGUAUUGGAAGGCAUUGGCUGACAAGAUGUUCCUGGAUACCUUAAUUUGUGUGCCUCAGAUGACUUUACAUGCUUAUAAAAAUGAGCACAAAGCAUCUUCAGCGUUUCUCUCACUUUUCUUCUCCUACAUUCUACUUGAGGGACUUCUUAGUUUUGCCAAUGAUUUUGUUUCCCAAUAAAACAGCGUGUCUGAAUUCAUGCUCUGUGUAUAAGUCCGUGUAUGUGAUUCCACUGUGCCCUAACCUCUCCAAAAGUGUGGGCCUGCUGGUUGGUUUUGGCUGAAUUUGGCAAAAUAAUUGAGAUUUCAAACUGAAGUUCCAAAAUGUUUUAAAAAGAAGGGCUAGGUAGGCACAGGAGAGGGCUUUUUUUGUGCUAGAGACAUCCUGGUGCUGUCAGCUCAGAUCACCUUUUACCACGUACCAGUGAAGCUGCCAUGGAAUGGGCCCUUGGAAAUCAGUCUUCAACACAUCUGUCAGAUGUGGAUUAGUUGUUAGUACUGGUUGUUUUGGUACAGUUAGAAUAGAGGAGGGGAGGCUGGGUUGAAAACCCGGAGUUUUCUCUUUUGUUCUAGACUUUUGAGAUUUAUGGUUUUUCCCUGCAAGUAGUCCGGAUUUUGCAGUUGUGACCUAAGCACUAGAGAAUCUGUCCCUAGCGCACCUAUCCUUCAAACUGGGUAUUUAUUGUGUCACAGGGCAGUAUGACUGCCAGAUUUCAACAUAGCUGUGGCUGUCUUUGCACCAAUUUUUGCUAAGGUGUUGAAAGCUUUGAAAAUAAGGCCUUUGGGACUAAGCGGUGAGCGGAGCAAAGAUCAGAGUUUGAACUUGCUUGGAGGUCUUGUGUUGCUGAAUAAACGGACCGACAUUUUUGUAUGGGGCAUCAUUUCUAAACCCAUCGUGUCUGUAGAAAUCAAGCAUAAGGAGCAAGUUCAAUCUAGUAGGUCGUCUGAUCAGAAAUAGCUGUGAAGAACAGAGGUAUUUGCAGCAACAGCUCUUGGGAUUUCUAGAAGGAAUGAGUUCGGAUAAAUAUUAAAUCUCCAUUUUGUCUUAAUGCCAGUGAUGGAGAAUGAAUGACAUUAUGGAAAUGUGAAAUGCUUUCCUCUACCAUCUUGAGCCCAGGCUCUUGCAACAAUUCAGCUUCUGCCAACUUCUCUUCAUUCAUUUGCUGAUCUCAGCCAAGCCCUUGUAGAGCUGGGUAACGGUGUUAUUUGCAUGGGAGGUGAAGAUGAUGUAGAGAUGGGUGUCAUAUGUGUACUGCUGACAAGUCAGUCCAUGGUGCCACUGAAUAUUCUCUACAGGCUUUAUAUAGAUAUUGAACAGGCUGGGUGAGGGGAAAGAAUUUCAUGUUAUUCAGCAGGUGGGAAAGGUUUUGGAGGUUAAGGAAAGAGCAAGUGUUUAUCAUAAAUCUCUUGAGCUUACUGGAGAUUGAUGUAAGGGAUGUCUGAAGAUGUAUCAGCUCAGUUCCAAAGGGCUCUGGACAGACAUUUAUUUUCAAACAGCUGAGCUGGCUGGAGAUCUUACAGCCAUUCCAGAUGCUUGCUACCAACCCUCUGCUGAUGGUUGCCAUACCUGUUGCUCUGCUGUUAGAAAAGGUAGUCUAAAGUCUUCCUGAUCUGUUCGGUGAAGUCACUCAGAUAGCUGAAAGUGCUGAUAAAGGUGGUGUUAUUUAACACAGCUGAAAUUGCAUUACCUUUAAAAGAGAGAACGUUCACUUUACUGUGAGUUUUGGAAAGGAGAGAAAGGAGAAAAGAAGGCCUCAGCCUAUCCUGCAGAGCAUUCCCACAGCCCCAGGCAGCUCUUGCAUUGCCUCCUGCAGGCCUGAAGAUGGGCAAGGCAUGUGUGUGGGGCUGGGUACAUCUUCUGGAACAGGCAAUGUAGCUGCUGUUUGGGGUUUGCUUUUAUGAGUGAACAUGUGCUCGGAUAUUUUGUAUAGAUCUUGUGCUUAAAAUAUAUGCAAAGUGCUUGUUUCUUACAUGAGUGACUGAAAUGAUGUAUGUGGAGAUGUGUCAGCCUCCUACGGGGUCAGGUAACCUCAUGUGGCCAAAGCUCAGGUAACCAAGAGUUUGUUAUUAUCCAAGUUUUCUACCAGAGCUCAUAUAAGAAAUUGUUAUUAAUUAGUAUAUUAACACCACUAUGGUUAAAGCUGAACCAGCAAGUUACAAUAAAAUGCUUAAGUUGGGGCAAAGAAGAAAGCUCAUGCACUCGGGUGUUCAUUCAGGAAUGGGAGGAAUGGGAAGAACUGGGAUGAAAGCCUGUGGGUGUUUUUAAGAGAUCCUGGAAUUCUUGCAGGUUUUCCAGAUCCAAAACCACAGAACUGCUGGAGAUUCCUUGACGUGUACACGGGCAAAACAGAGCAAGCAAGAGUACUGGUCAUCCUUGCUGGCCAUUCUGUUUCUGAACUGGGCCAGAAUGAAGCAUCCUACCCUAACAACAGUCCAAAACUCUGCUGGAAUUUGGACUAGCAUCCAAACUCAAGGCACAGGCUCUUCUCUAAAUAAAAAUAACUCAAUCACAAGCUAUUUUGGGGUGGUGACUUUCAGACAAGAAAUGUAGGGCUUACACAGGUUUUUACUUCUGUCAAAUACAUCUGGAUGCUGUACUCCUUCCUGCCGAUACUCUGAACUUGCUCUCUUCAGCUCAGAGCCAAAGAACUCCAACUGAAAGCUAGAAAUGGUAGAACAACUGAUGUUACUCAAGGUAAACAGCAGGGUUUUUUUGGUGGUUUAUUUAUUCCACAGAGGAUAUUCUGCUACUCUGGUUGCUGCUGAUGCUGAUAAAAUUUCUGUCAUGGCCUGUGAUGAACAGCAUGCAACGUUGGUUCAAGAUAAGAGCCAAAAGCGUGUCAAAGAGUCUUCUCCAAAUAGGAAUCCCCAUAGAUCUGGCUUUUUUGACAGGGUGGUAGUUAACGAAACUGCCACACCUGGCACCAUUGACAUUGCUGCCAAAACUGUCCGUCACCAUCCUCUCCCCUUCCCACAGCACCCAGUAACAAAUCUGUUUUUUCCUGUUUGCUUGGAUAUACCUGGUAUUACGAUAGGAACAGUUCCCGUUCAUGAAGAAUGAGGUGGGAUACAGCGAGUUGUAAGGGACAGGAAGCAAAGGAGGAAGCGGUGUGCUGGGCUAUUGUUGUUAAUGGCACUAAGCAGCAAGUGCUAAAGCAUGUUUUACAUCAGUGCGAGCACUGCUGUGUAUGAUGUCCUACUGGGAGUGCCUGCACUGUGUGCAGCAGAUGGGCAGCAGGAGAGUUUCACUGCUGGGUUCUGAGGUAAGAGUGUUUCCUACCUCAGGAGCUCCAAGCAGUCUAUGAACUUCAGUUGAUUUAAAGCUUUGGACCUUCUAAAUAAUUAUCCAGUUGUAUCCCAGAGCAAGGCAUAUUUGCUGAAGAUGUCACAGGAAGUUUUCAGCUGUGCCAAGUGUAUAAACUAGAUCUUCUGACUCAUAGAUCUAGGGUUUAAUUGAAGGAGUUUUCUUCCUCUUUACAUAGCUACCCUGCCUUCUCUUUGAUAUUAUCCCACCCUCCCCUAAUCACUGGGUGACAUCUGAUCCCUAUGACUCUUCUAUAACCUUCAAGGUCUAUUGUAUUGGGUCCAAGAUCUUGUGUUUUAUUUCUGGCUGUUCUAAUUUUGAGUCCAUCCCUGCAAUUCCAGGGGGCUCACCCCUAAACUGGCUGCAAGCCCUUGGGAAGCAGGGUGCCCCUUGGUGGUACAUCUCACUGUGGAGCAGAGAUUUCCCUGAACCAGUCACUGUCCUCCACUAAACCCUGGUGCAGAGGAUGGCUAUUGCCUCCCACGUGCUUCCUGCAAUUUCUGCUUAAGUAUAGUAUUCUUUGCUGUCUCUCUGCAGUUGGAAUGUAAAGCUGCUUUCUGUAGAUUUAAAGUUGCUUCCUCCUCUGAAGUGGCUUUAUUUUAGUGCUCAGCUCAGUGAUUCCUACACAGUACUUAACCCAGCAGGUAUCUGAAGUCCAAAUACUUUAUUUAGAUCUAAGUUAACGCAUAACAUUGCUUCUAUCAAUAUCAUUAGAUUUUCUUGUGUCUUUAAACUCAGUGUUCUUGAGUCACUUUCUCUUUUUUCCCUCUCGUCAAAGGAUUUCCAAUUUGCAGUUUGGGCUACGGAUGUAAAGGACCAAAUCCUGCACUAGUUUAAGUCUGUAAGAGCCAUGGAACUACGUCCAUGCACGUGAGAACACAGGAUGCUGAAAUCAUUCCGCCAUUUUGAAAAGCACACGGUCUAGAGGACUGAUGCUGAGAGAUGUCGUUUAGGAUUAUCUAAUUCCUGAACCUGUAAAUCCUGAUGUAAAUAUAGCUUUUCCCCUGGCUAUACACUUUUAGUGGUGAAGAGAUUCUUUAAAAAAAUAAUAAUAAAAAAUUAGAUGUUAGAUGCUGUGCAUCCAGAGCCCCUUACUGGAGUUAUAACACCUUCUUAACAGCAUUGUACACAAUACACCAGUUUUCCCAUCCUAUCUAGUAUCAGAGGCUUAUCUCUACCAGCAGAGUUCAUGGAUUGAGACUGGUAUUAAAAUAACGUUUAACAUUUGCACAGAUGAUGAAAAUUCAGUUUCAAGUUGGGUUUUGUAGUUUUGUAGAUUUUUACUCUUCAGGAUUUGCACUGUCAUGUUUCAAAAUGUGCCCCUGUGCUUUCAUUCCCAAUUCCUCUGUUUGCUUUGGGUCAAUUGCAAGUUUUGAUUUUAAGUUUUGCAGCUUACCUGAUGCAAUACAUACACACCAAAUUAAAAGGACAGCAGUGUUGAAGUUUAAAACUAAAUGAAUAAAUAAAUAAGCCGCGUUGUGCUGGAAACAUGCUGAAAAGAAAUGUUUCAACACUGCUGGAACUCUUUGUUUUCCCGGUUUUCUUCCUGAAUGAAGUCCUGGCGAAAUCAGCUGGAUUUUGUGAUGUGUUUUGGCUCCGGCAGAGCAGGAUCCUAGCAGCGUUUCUUCCAAUGGCUUGAGAAGAGCAGGAGUGGAGGAGCUCCCCAUGCGGAGGGUUUUGUUCCAGGAGAAGAGUCCUUCUGGCCUAUGAAGAGGAGCGAUUCAACGUGCCUUCCGCUCGGGGGGUAGGAGGGGAAGGAGGGAGAGGGACGAGGACACUUCCUUCGCAGCGCUUUGUCAAGGCUUCUGGCCAAGAAUGUAAGUCUAAAUUCAAGUCGUCAAGCACUGUGCCAGAUCCUGAGAGUUUGGGAGUCCCUUUGUCCAGAAGCUUGCAAAAGUUAAAGUAGUUGCCAAAUGGGAUGUGUGGCAUCCAUGUAAUACAUCUGACGCAUGAAAAUGGGUUCCCGUUGAGCUUACUGUGGUGCCUGAGGCAAAAGUACUUCUGAUUCCCUGCAUGAUGCAGUAAUUACCGGGCUGCUGCUGCUUGCCUUAAACCCAGCUACGAUGGCAGCUCAGGACAACCGCCAGCCUUAGGUCAGGCUGAGGCAGAUGGCACGCACUCAGGGAGGGUAGGUGGGGCUGCCUUUGGUUCUGCUCUCUCUCUGGGAUGAGAGGACCUGAUAGCAUUUGCAUUUCUCCUUAGACUCAACCAUUACGUCUGAUGACAGAAAUGAACCUUUCCCCCUGGACACGAGCCAAGAAACUUUUUUUCUUUCUUUUUUUCUUUCUUUUUUUUCUCUCCUGUCUCUUUCAUAACCGUCAUUUUCGUCUAUCUCUGGAACAUAUCACAUACUACUGUCACACACUGUAGGUGUGCUCCCCUUUUCCUUCAGUUGCAUUUGGCUUCCCAUCUGCCAGGUGAGAGCCUCUCCUUGGCUGGCUGAUGCUUGCUUGCCACAGGUGACAGGGAGGACUGAAACCAUUGCUUCUGCCCCAUGGAGAGCGUCUGCAUCUCAAAGAGAGGGAAUUCUGCUCUGGAAACCCCAUGAGAUGUGUCAACAGGGUCGUAGCAAUUCCCGUAGGAUGAGGCUGCCUGUUUUCCCGUGCCUUGCUGGAAUGUUCAGCCAGUCGUGCUUGUGCAAACCCCUGGAGGGCUGUGAGGCUGAGCAGGUGUCAGCAAGGACAUAGCUGGGGUUGCAGAACUCCUAUUACAGGCUGUGCUGGCCAGAGAGGUAAUUUGUCUUGGUAGGAAUUGUCUUUGUCUUUCAUAGGGAUGCCGC